Molecule: ribosomal RNA, 451 nt
Filed under: uncultured bacterium
Lineage: Bacteria
Description: partial 16S ribosomal RNA
Rfam family: Bacterial small subunit ribosomal RNA
Source: RNAcentral
GAUGAAUGCUGGCGGCGUGCCUAACACAUGCAAGUCGAGCGGCAGCGCGGGGUUCUUGCACCCUGUCGGCGAGCGGCGAACGGCUGAGUAACGCGUAGGAAUUUGCCCCAAAGUGAGUAAUAACUGCCCGCAAGGGUAGCUAAUGCCGCAUAUGGUCUUCGGCUUAAAGGAUUUAUCCGCUUUGGGAGAAGCCUGCGUUGGAUUAGGUUGUUGGUAGGGUAAUGGCCUACCAAGCCGACGAUCCAUAGCUGGUCUGAGAGGAUGGUCAGCCAGACUGGAAAUGAGACACGGUCCAGACUCCUACGGGAGGCAGCAGUGAGGAAUCUUCCACAAUGGGCGAAAGCCUGAUGGAGCAACGCCGCGUGAAGGAUGAAGGCCUUCGGGUUGUAAACUUCUUUUAUGAGUGAAGAAUAUGACGGUAACUCAUGAAUAAGCACCGGCUAACUACGUG